Long non-coding RNA from Oncorhynchus keta (chum salmon), 1401 nucleotides. RefSeq lists it as uncharacterized. The transcript has 2 exons. NCBI's taxonomy places the organism in Eukaryota, Metazoa, Chordata, Actinopteri, Salmoniformes, Salmonidae. The record is from RefSeq and is a predicted model, not a curated record.
CCGGUCUCUCCCUCUCUUCCCGGUCUCUCCCUCUCUUCCCGGUCUCUCCCUCUCUUCCCGGUCUCUCCCUCUCUUCCCGGUCUCUCCCUCUCUUCCCGGUCUCUCCCUCUCUUCCCGGUCUCUCCCUCUCUUCCCGGUCUCUCCCUCUCUUCCCGGUCUCUCCCUCUCUUCCCGUCUCUCCCUCUCUUCCAGGUCUCUCCCUCUCUUCCCGGUCUCUCCCUCUCCUCCCGGUCUCUCCCUCUCUACACACAGGUCCACAGGAGAAGGGUUUUCCACUAUGUUGUAGGAUACUGAGCCGUACUGAGUCAGGUGUUGCAGGCGUCUCUUUUUAUUGAUACACAGGUUUAAAUACAGACGUGAUACAUUCAUUGGCCUCAAUGUGUUUUUGUGUGUUUUAAAAAAAAAUUAACAGACAGGGUUUUCAUUUUUAAAAAAAGAAUGAAAAACAUCCAUUGAUAUGCUGCCGUGAUAAAUCUAUAGUUGAAUGGCUGCAUUCACUGGCACAGAUUAGACCUUUCACUGAAAGUACAGACAAUCUGGAGAAAACACAUGUUUUCCUAUGGCUUUACUUCAAAUAAAGUAAUAUAGUCCUGUAGGAGAGCAACACUCCAGAGAACCAUGUGGAAAAUAUACACAGUACACAAGAACAUAUAGUACUAGCAGUAACAGCACAUGUAGUACUAGCAGUAACAGAACAUGCAGUACUAGCAGUAACAGAACAUGUAGUACUAGCAGAAACAGAACAUGUAGUACUAGCAGUAAUAUAACAUGUAGUACUAGCAGUAACAGAACAUGCAGUACUAGCAGUAAUAUAACAUUUAGUACUAGCAGAAACAGAACAUGUAGUACUAGCAGUAAUAUAACAUGUAGUACUAGCAGUAAUAUAACAUGUAGUACUAGCAGUAAUAUAACAUUUAGUACUAGCAGAAACAGAACAUGUAGUACUAGCAGUAACAGAACAUGUAGUACUAGCAGUAAUAUAACAUGUAGUACUAGCAGUAACAGAACAUGCAGUACUAGCAGUAAUAUAACAUGUAGUACUAGCAGUAACAGAACAUGUAGUACUAGCAGUAAUAUAACAUGUAGUACUAGCAGUAAUAUAACAUGUAGUACUAGCAGUAAUAUAACAUGUAGUACUAGCAGUAAUAUAACAUGUAGUACUAGCAGUAAUAUAACAUGUAGUACUAGCAGUAAUAUAACAUGUAGUACUAGCAGUAAUAUAACAUGUAGUACUAGCAGUAAUAUAACAUGUAGUACUAGCAGUAAUAUAACAUGUAGUACUAGCAGUAAUAUAACAUGUAGUACUAGCAGUAAUAUAACAUGCAGUAAUAUAACAUGUAGUACUAGCAGUAAUAUAACAUGUAGUACUAGCAGUAAUAUAACAUGUAGUACUAGCAGUAA